Stegodyphus dumicola is the source of this 654-nucleotide long non-coding RNA. Lineage: Eukaryota; Metazoa; Arthropoda; Arachnida; Araneae; Eresidae. The record is from RefSeq and is a predicted model, not a curated record.
CGUCAUAACUUAUCCAUUAUGAUGGAAACAACAUCUGUCGCUAGGGGUCGUAACCCUUUCUCCUGUCAGUCAGUUGUUAGGCUGAGAUUCGUAUGCGGGAUGUUGUUGCCUGCGUUUGUGCAGAACUCUAAAUUUCUGUUGCCCACGCCGCAUUCCGUACUCUGACACCUGCGAUCUCUUGUCCAACCACCUGCUCCAAGCAGCUGACGUGAUUCACGCCCUUUCCCGCAAUAACAUUUUUGUUUCUUUCUCAUCGAGUUGGGAGCAGUUAGUUCAUCGAUAAGGCUUACUCCUCCUCGUGAAACUUCCUCAUCUGGACUAACCGAGAAAAGAAUUGGCCAGAAGUUUGUGUUCCAAGGAUAUUUUAUUGUGUUUAAAUAAAACACUAAUACCAUAUACUAAAAGAAAGGACAUUUCCGACGUUUCAAUGUGAUGAAGAGCAUCAGAUUUUUUCCUUGCUUUAUUAUAAAUUUAUUCGGUGAUUCCAAGGAAGUUUUUCGAACAACAGGAUCAUAAAUUCUUUGAUUACACUACAAGGCAAGACAUUCUAGUAAGAAAUGAGAAUGAUUGGGAGAAGCAGAAGUCGAAGAAGCUCACACCGAAUCCUUUUCCUGCUACAAAUUAUCCAGUUGUGCAAAAUGUAAUCUAUACGAC